This is a non-coding RNA of Exophiala spinifera, 72 nucleotides long. The record is from Rfam. Lineage: Eukaryota; Fungi; Ascomycota; Eurotiomycetes; Chaetothyriales; Herpotrichiellaceae.
CACCCAGUCGUCUAGUUGGUUAGGACGCGGUGCUUCGGCACCGAGACGGGAGUUCGACUCUCCCCUGGGUUG